RNAcentral lists this non-coding RNA (24 nucleotides) under Arabidopsis thaliana (thale cress). The record is from RNAcentral. Lineage: Eukaryota; Viridiplantae; Streptophyta; Magnoliopsida; Brassicales; Brassicaceae.
CACAAAGGUUAGUAAACAUUGAUC